Molecule: ribosomal RNA, 207 nt
Filed under: uncultured bacterium
Lineage: Bacteria
Description: partial 16S ribosomal RNA
Rfam family: Bacterial small subunit ribosomal RNA
Source: RNAcentral
CGUGUAGGCGGGACAGUAAGUCUAUCUUAAAAGUGCGGGGCUCAACCCCGUGAGGGGAUAGAAACUGCUAUUCUUGAGUGUCGGAGAGGAAAGUGGAAUUCCCAGUGUAGCGGUGAAAUGCGUAGAUAUUGGGAGGAACACCAGUGGCGAAGGCGACUUUCUGGACGAUAACUGACGCUGAGGCGCGAAAGCCAGGGGAGGUGAACG